Molecule: long non-coding RNA, 358 nt
Filed under: Brassica napus (rape)
Lineage: Eukaryota; Viridiplantae; Streptophyta; Magnoliopsida; Brassicales; Brassicaceae
Description: long non-coding RNA (BNAP_LNC010299)
Source: RNAcentral
UGCUUUCAAAACUUCUUCUUACUAUGUCAUCAAUGUACUCCUGAUCAUCAUCUAAUAACCCACGAGCAUAACAUGCAUCUUUGUAGCUCGGAUACAGAACACCUUGAUAUGUUUUAAUGUCAUCAUAACUGGUGGGUCCCUUGACAACAUUCAAUAAUACACGCAAGAAAUAAGCAGCUUCCUGGGUCCUAGGAGCAUAAUUAAUCCGGCCUAGAGCAAAUCCCCGCUUCCGUCUUUUGAACUUCUUUGACCUUUUAUCGUAAGUAAAGUAGUUUGGAAUCUGAGCAUAGGUUAAUGUUCUUGCAAGAUCAUCAAUUUUACACAACUCAAACCAAGCCAAGAACAUUGUAUUUUGAAU